GAGGGUAUAGCUCAGUGGUAAGAGUGUGUGCCUAGCAUGCACAGGGUCCGAGUUCAAUCCUCAGCACUGCCA
RNAcentral lists this transfer RNA (72 nucleotides) under Camelus bactrianus (Bactrian camel). It matches the Rfam family "tRNA". From Rfam's summary of the family: Transfer RNA (tRNA) molecules are approximately 80 nucleotides in length. Their secondary structure includes four short double-helical elements and three loops (D, anti-codon, and T loops). RNAcentral also lists the same sequence under 1 other name. The record is from Rfam by way of RNAcentral. Lineage: Eukaryota; Metazoa; Chordata; Mammalia; Artiodactyla; Camelidae.